Physcomitrium patens is the source of this 3162-nucleotide non-coding RNA. The record is from RefSeq and is a predicted model, not a curated record. NCBI's taxonomy places the organism in Eukaryota, Viridiplantae, Streptophyta, Bryopsida, Funariales, Funariaceae.
GCGAAACUCACCGGCUCCAAUGAGCUAUGGUGUUUUAUUGCAGAAUUAUUGGCUCCAUAAUGCCGUCGUUGCUCCAGUCACAAUGAAACCAACCAUGAUCGUCUCUCUCUCUCUCGAGAAGUAGAAAUUUGUUGUGUUAGAGGAGGCGAGAGUGCAGGAGAAUGAGGUGGAGAAUUGAGGAAGGCGAUUUGGUGUGCUGGUGGUGGAGGGGAUUGCCAGGAGUCUGGGGGAGUGAGAGAGUGUUGGAAAGAAUUCCGUGGAGAAUGGUGGGAGAAUGAGUCAGCCGAGCAUUCCAUCGAGGGUUUGAUGCUGGUUAGAUUCUCGUAGCGUGACUGACUCGUCUUAUGGUCCACGGAUGGCAUAACGGAUGACAGUAGACGCGGGGGUUCAGGCUCGAGCAGGCGUUGCUGAUUAUGGGGGAACGACCGGUUUUGCCAUGAAGCGCAAGGGCUGUGGGAGAGAGAACGGAAUCGAGAAAUAGGCGAAUGUUUCUGCUAUGAUGCUGUGGUUGUAAUGAGGAGGAGGUGGAAUUGGUGAUGCAUUGCUGUUUGCGGAAGCUGGUGCUCUGCUUGUCAGAUGUGCCUGGAUGCGAAGGUAGGGGCUUGAGAAAAUGGAAAUCGUAUGAAGGGAGUGCGCCGGAAGGAUGACUGGCGUCAAAGAGGCGCGGCAAAGGUUGGACAAAACGUUGGCAUCAGUGGCUCUGUCAGAUCCUGCGAUUCUCAGUAACCUUGUUCGUAAACAGUUGCUGAAAACCAACCCAGGUCGUCAGCUACGUUGCGCAAGGGUCCGAGUUCCUGCAUGGUUACUACUUUAUUCUCCUCCAAUUCUUUAAAUUCUAGUUGAUUGCCUCUCAGAGAAAAGUCGGCAACUGAUGAAGUUGUAGAGAAGAGAAGUAAACAAUUGCUGAAGUUGUUGGAUGCUUUGAAGAGUGCCAAAGGAGAGAGGUCAACGAAAGUUGUAGACGGAGAAUGGAAGGUCAAGCAAGACACUCCACGGUUUCGGGUCAUGUACCGAGAAGGACCAGAAGGUGCUCCAUACCACUCACUAUGCUUAGAGGGCAUAAUUGACGGGCCCAUGUCACACGCUGUGGUUGUUGGAUGGGAGGUGCCAAUGUAUAGGGAAUGGUGGCCGCAAUUUACUGCACCUACGUUCAAGAUCAUAGAGGCCAGGUAUCUUGAAAGGAACACAGUAGGUGGGGACCACUCUGUGCUGAGGUUCAAAGUGCCCUGGCCCUUUGCAAUGCGUGAAGUGAUUCUAUCAGCAUAUGAAUUGGAGUAUUUUGACGAAGAUCUUAUUGCAGUACUAUACAAAUCCACGCCAGAUGUGCCAGAUGAGAAAGUAGAUGGAAUUAACAGCAAUCAAAUACCAGAAUCGCUUUCGAAUGCAGUCCGUAUGGAUCUUGAGGGUGGAUUUGUAUUGCAAAAAAUUGCUCACGAUUGUAACUUUUUUCGCAUUGUUGCGGACCUGGAUAUGAAGCUGGAUUUUGUCCCUCCUUGGCUAAUCAACUUCAUUGCUAGGCAGCUUGUAGGCCAUGGUUACAAGCUGUACCAGAAGGCGGUUGCUGGGGUGAAAGGAAGUCUAUUGGAGAAGCUCGUCAACACUGACCCUAUGUAUAGGCGCAUUCAAGUUCUUGAUAAUAUGCCGUUAAAUGUGUAUGAGCAUCCGCUAAUGCCUAUGUUAUCUUCGGAGAAGGACGUUGCGGGGUUCUACGAUGGUCCAUAUAAGCAAGGAAUUGAUCCUUACGACAUGAAGCAUGGAUUUUGUCAGAUACCAGAGAACAUCGUAGAGGCAGAAAAGCGUAACACUCCAGAAGGAGAAAAGCAGAACACGUUGCUUGACAACAACAUUAAUACGACUGAUGCGCUAAGUUCAAGUGACACCUCUAAUGCUAGACGUGAGGUAGGUCUAAAUGACUCGACGUCUACGGUGUCUCCUACGCCAGAACAUCCAAGAGCGGUCCGUGAGGAAGAUAGAGCUGUAGAUCCUGAGGUUGCUUGGGCUCUUGGAGUCCUUGAGAAACUUAUAGCCCAUUUUACCAGUCAAAGAGCUUCCUCUCCAACUAGUGAAAGUAGGGGUAUCUCUAGUGUACACAAUGACAUUUCAGUUUACUCCGAGCUUGUCUGUUCAACGGCGAAGUUAGAGUCUUUUCAUGAGGUAGAAGAAUAUCUAGAUACUCUGGAGGAGUUUCAUUCGCAGAAUCCUCCGACCAACCAUGACAUGUGCGAAACUAAGACGUCUCAAUCGUCAGCAGCUCACGCCAAAGUGAUUGAAGUGCCCGAACCCGGCGCCGAAACUCCGAUUCCACUGCACGAAGGGAAACUCCAUCAAGUGAAGAGGGUUGGGUCUUCUAAAAGUACCGCAUUACCAAAUGGCAAAGAAACCAUCCAACCCUCCCGGACACAUCACAGAGGGUUGGGGUUCUUUAAGUUCGGAAGAAGGCAUAAAGAGUCGAGGAAGUAGAUUCCUCCAGAACUCGAACCGCUGUGUAGAUCUCAAAAUGAGGUCUGUGAUAUAUAGGACAGGAAAUCGUUCUCCCUGCGGGUGCUCGUGUACCAUUUGUCGCAUUCACCCACUGGCAUACCACGAUUCAUGACCCUCAAGCCUGGUUACAGCAGUGUGGAGACUGACGGUGUAUUUGUCAGGAAAACCAUUUUCGGUGAAUGCGUUUGAGCAGUUGUACCUCAGAUAGGCUCGUGCCAUCAAUGGUCUUCUCAGUUGCAAGGCAGCCUGCCAAGUUCAUGACCCCUAUACUUCAUGACAUUGAUUACCCGCAUUCCAAACCUGUGGAGAUCUUCAGUUUGAUGCUCUGACAUUGUCAGCUCAUCUAGUCAAUGCAAGCUUCUCGGUUAGAUGAAAGUCUUUGCUGCAUUUUGACUACCAGUUAUAGUCACUGGUGGUGUGCUAUUUACUGCCUUUCUAACACCUGGAAACCAAAAUCGUGCAGACUAUACUUAACUUUGUUGGAACAAUCAAAUGUCAGGCCUGGUGUAAAUAGGUAUUCACCAUUAACUGUCUUUUGCUCUUUAAUUGAACUUCAGUCUUGGGGGCUUCCAAUGCUGAAUCAAUUGAGCUAAGUACAAAGAUGACUUUCUUUUUCUACUGUGCAUCGAGGGUUGUCCAUGCAAGCAAAUUCUGAGAUAUUACUGGAAGUCAUUGAUACAA